GGAGAGGUGUCCGAGUGGUCGAUGGUGCGGCUCUCGAAAAGCCGUAGGCGCGAGCCUCGUGGGUUCGAAUCCCACCCUCUCCGCCA
Molecule: transfer RNA, 86 nt
Filed under: Chloroflexota bacterium
Lineage: Bacteria; Bacillati; Chloroflexota
Description: tRNA-Ser
Rfam family: tRNA
About the family: Transfer RNA (tRNA) molecules are approximately 80 nucleotides in length.
Source: RNAcentral